Molecule: long non-coding RNA, 833 nt
Organism: Lagopus muta (rock ptarmigan)
Lineage: Eukaryota; Metazoa; Chordata; Aves; Galliformes; Phasianidae
Exons: 5
Source: RefSeq, a predicted model, not a curated record
CAAGAAAGCCCAAAAGCUAACGAGAGAGAGGAUUAAUUAGGGCUGAUUCACAAGCAACUUAUCAUACCUACCAUCACUGUUAGUUUCAGCCUGGCACUCUAUUUACAAAACUACUUGUGUUCUGUUUUUAGCCUUUUCAUCCUGGCAGGAAGGACUACCAUGCCUUCUUCCUUCUGAAUCAGCUUGGUCUACAUGAUAAUUUUCUUGUCUCCAGACUUUCAGAAAGGGAAAAGAAAGCAAUUAUCUUCACUCAACUGACAUGAAUUUCAAGGCUCUUUAAGCUAUCUGUUCAACUGCUCGGCCUGUCCAUACAGCUUUCCAAGACAACCAAAUUGAAGAUAGGAUGCUUAGUGCUGUACCAGUAUGUGUCUGAAGACCUACAAAAAAGGGCUGAUGAAACUCUACCAAGAGAUCACCGCUCUGUUUUGAAUCCUGUGAGUGGACAAGCACAGCCUCACAGAACUUGUGUAAAUGAAGAACAAGCAAUCUGAUGCAGAGCUAUGGCAGGCUACGUCGUUUGGAGUGGAAUAAGCAUCUCAGUUUUGUCAGUACUUCUCACUGGCCGUAGAUUCCCUCAUGGGAAAAAUUCCAGGGAGUGGAUCUUGACAGAGUAUGGUAUAAGCAUGGCUGAUUCACAGGCUCAUGGCCAGAGCCAGGAGAAGAAUGUGGAACUCCAUGCAAAGAAGGCUGUGGCACAAGGCUGGUCAUCCAGGAGCGCGCACAGAACUGCAGGGAACAGAAAACAAUGCAAAGGGACUCUGGAGAGGUGGGGGAGCCCAUGGACACACAUGACUAGCUCAAUAACCAGUUUGUUACACGAAGCCAUCUAGCAU